GUGAACGCUGGCGGUAGGCCUAACACAUGCAAGUCGAACGGCAGCACAGUAAGAGCUUGCUCUUACGGGUGGCGAGUGGCGGACGGGUGAGGAAUACAUCGGAAUCUACUUUUUCGUGGGGGAUAACGUAGGGAAACUUACGCUAAUACCACAUACGACCUACGGGUGAAAGCAGGGGAUCUUCGGACCUUGCGCGAUUGAAUGAGCCGAUGUCGGAUUAGCUAGUUGGCGGGGUAAAGGCCCACCAAGGCGACGAUCCGUAGCUGGUCUGAGAGGAUGAUCAGCCACACUGGAACUGAGACACGGUCCAGACUCCCACGGGAGGCAGCAGUGGGGAAUAUUGGACAAUGGGCGCAAGCCUGAUCCAGCCAUACCGCGUGGGUGAAGAAGGCCUUCGGGUUGUAAAGCCCUUUUGUUGGGAAAGAAAAGCAGCAGGUUAAUACCCCGCUGUUCUGACGGUACCCAAAGAAUAAGCACCGGCUAACUUCGUG
RNAcentral lists this ribosomal RNA (491 nucleotides) under uncultured bacterium. RNAcentral describes it as "partial 16S ribosomal RNA". It matches the Rfam family "Bacterial small subunit ribosomal RNA", at positions 29 to 507 of the family's 1533-position model. The record is from RNAcentral.